GAUGAACGCUAGCGGCAGGCUUAACACAUGCAAGUCGAGGGGCAGCGCGGGAUAGCAAUAUCCUGGCGGCGACCGGCGGAAGGGUGCGUAACGCGUGAGCGACAUGCCCGUUGCCCGGGGACAACCGGUGGAAACGCCGACUAAUCCCCGAUGGGAUAUUGUGCCGCAUGGCACGAUAUUGAAAGUUACGGCGGCGACGGAUUGGCUCGCGUCCGAUUAGCUUGUUGGCGGGGUAACGGCCCACCAAGGCUGCGAUCGGUAGGGGUUCUGAGAGGAAGGCCCCCCACAAUGGGACUGAGACACGGCCCAUACUCCGACGGGAGGCAGCAGGGAGGAAUAUUGGUCAAUGGGCGGAAGCCUGAACCAGCCAUGCCGCGUGCGGGAAGGAGGCCCUAUGGGCUGUGAACCGCUUUUGCCUGGGGGCAAUAAGGGCGUCGCGCACGUCCGAUGAGAGUACCAGGCGAAUAAGCAUCGGCUAACUCCGUG
RNAcentral lists this ribosomal RNA (486 nucleotides) under uncultured bacterium. RNAcentral's name for it is "partial 16S ribosomal RNA". It matches the Rfam family "Bacterial small subunit ribosomal RNA", at positions 28 to 507 of the family's 1533-position model. The record is from RNAcentral.